GGCUGGUCUGAGUACAGUGGUGUUUACAACUCAUUGAUCACAACCACUUACAGAUUCCUUUGUCCUCCACUCCCACUGCUUCACUUGACUAGUCUAAA
Unclassified non-coding RNA from Otolemur garnettii (small-eared galago), 98 nucleotides. It matches the Rfam family "Y RNA". Rfam says of the family: Y RNAs are components of the Ro ribonucleoprotein particle (Ro RNP), in association with Ro60 and La proteins. The Y RNAs and Ro60 and La proteins are well conserved, but the function of the Ro RNP is not known. The record is from Ensembl. Lineage: Eukaryota; Metazoa; Chordata; Mammalia; Primates; Galagidae.